GUUGUGGUGAUCUAGUUUGGUUAGGACGGCGGUCUUAAGAGCCGCUCAUCUCACUGAUGGCGCAGGUUCAAAUCCUGUCCAAGACG
RNAcentral lists this transfer RNA (86 nucleotides) under Cenarchaeum sp. SB0661_bin_35. RNAcentral describes it as "tRNA-Leu". It matches the Rfam family "tRNA". Rfam says of the family: Transfer RNA (tRNA) molecules are approximately 80 nucleotides in length. Their secondary structure includes four short double-helical elements and three loops (D, anti-codon, and T loops). Lineage: Archaea; Thermoproteati; Nitrososphaerota; Candidatus Cenarchaeales; Candidatus Cenarchaeaceae. RNAcentral also lists the same sequence under 4 other names. The record is from RNAcentral.